This 94-nucleotide transfer RNA is filed under the name Agitococcus sp. Its description in RNAcentral is "tRNA-Ser". It matches the Rfam family "tRNA". Rfam says of the family: Transfer RNA (tRNA) molecules are approximately 80 nucleotides in length. The record is from RNAcentral. Lineage: Bacteria; Pseudomonadati; Pseudomonadota; Gammaproteobacteria; Moraxellales; Moraxellaceae.
GGAGAGGUGCCAGAGAGGCUUAACGGCACUGCUUGGAAAGCAGCUGGCUUCAUGUAAAUGAGGCACCAGGGUUCGAAUCCCUGUCUCUCCUCCA